RNAcentral lists this ribosomal RNA (407 nucleotides) under uncultured microorganism. RNAcentral's name for it is "bacterial SSU rRNA". It matches the Rfam family "Bacterial small subunit ribosomal RNA", at positions 509 to 917 of the family's 1533-position model. The record is from RNAcentral.
CAGCCGCCGCGGUAAUACGUAGGGGGCAAGCGUUCCUCGGAAUUACUGGGCGUAAAGGGUGAGUAGGCGGCUGGGCAAGUCAAGGAUGAAAUCCCGAGGCUCAACUUCGGAACUGUCCUUGAAACUGCUCAGCUUGAGGGUAGUUGAGGAGAGCGGAAUUUCCGGUGGAGCGGUGAAAUGCGUAGAUAUCGGGAGGAACACCUGAGGCGAAGGCGGCUCUCUAAGCUACUCCUGACGCUGAAUCACGAAAGCUAGGGGAGCAAACGGGAUUAGAUACCCCGGUAGUCCUAGCCGUAAACGAUGGGCACUAGGUGUGGGGGAGUAUUUCCUCCGUGCUGUAGCUAACGCGUUAAGUGGGCCGCCUGGGGAGUACGCCCGCAAGGGUGAAACUUAAAGGAAUUGGCGGG